UAAUUCUAUGAUUCUAUGAAUUAUGAGGUUCUCUCUGGGACUCCUCUCUCAUGGCUGCUCCACUACAUCUUUGGCCGCAUUACUGAGAUGUAGAUGCCCUUCUGAGGAGGAUCUGAAAGAGGCAUGCAACACCUUCCACGAGAUGGGGAAAACAUGUGGUGAUGAAUAAUCCUAUUGUAGAAAUAGAUGGACUUCACAGAUUUCCCACAAGCUGUUUCUUUUGUGCUUUCAAGCUUCUGGGAUCUCAAGAUGAAAAAGAUAGAAGCAGAUGAAAAAGUUAAAGGCAGCAGGCUCUUCCUCAGAUUGGCUAAUAGGAAACUUUUGUUCCUUUAGAGGAGCAGAGGAACUGCCUUCAUUUCAUUGAGGUAAGAGCUGGAAAAGACCUGUCAGACCACCAAAUGAAUCACUUGUUAAGUACGGG
Molecule: long non-coding RNA, 421 nt
Filed under: Chrysolophus pictus (golden pheasant)
Lineage: Eukaryota; Metazoa; Chordata; Aves; Galliformes; Phasianidae
Description: lncRNA (ENSCPIG00010001026.1)
Source: RNAcentral